This is a non-coding RNA of Sphingomonas sp. Ag1, 393 nucleotides long. The record is from Rfam. NCBI's taxonomy places the organism in Bacteria, Pseudomonadati, Pseudomonadota, Alphaproteobacteria, Sphingomonadales, Sphingomonadaceae.
CCAGAGGGCCGGGCGGCCGCGUCGUGGGCUGGUCCCGCGCCGAGGAAAGUCCGGGCUCCAUGGAACAACGGUGGCGGGUAACGCCCGCCGGGGGUGACCCCAGGGAAAGUGCCACAGAGAGCAGACCGCCCAAUCUUUCAGAUGAAGGCUUCGGCCGGGCAAGGGUGAAAGGGUGCGGUAAAAGCGCACCGCGCGGCCGGUAACGGCGGCGGCAUGGCAAACCCCACCGGGAGCAAGACCGAAUAGGGGCGGCAUGGGGACUUGAUCCCCGGGGUGUGUUCCCACCUGCUGCCCGGGUUGGUUGCUGGAGCGCGUCGGCAACGGCGCGCCGAGAGGAAUGGUCGCCUAUCCCGCAAGGGGGGACAGAACCCGGCUUACAGGCCCUCUGGUGUC